CUUGUAGUCUCUCCUAGUGAGCUUGUCAAAAUGCAGAUUCAGAUUCAGCAGGUCUGGAACAUGGCCUAAAAUUCUGCAUUUUUAUCAAGUUCCCAGAUGAUUUCAAG
RNAcentral lists this microRNA precursor (107 nucleotides) under Marmota monax (woodchuck). Lineage: Eukaryota; Metazoa; Chordata; Mammalia; Rodentia; Sciuridae. The record is from RNAcentral.